UGGUUACUCUAAUGGCAGCAUCCACGCUA
Molecule: non-coding RNA, 29 nt
Filed under: Mus musculus (house mouse)
Lineage: Eukaryota; Metazoa; Chordata; Mammalia; Rodentia; Muridae
Source: RNAcentral